ACCAGGAUGCUAACUGAUUACAACU
Molecule: non-coding RNA, 25 nt
Filed under: Cricetulus griseus (Chinese hamster)
Lineage: Eukaryota; Metazoa; Chordata; Mammalia; Rodentia; Cricetidae
Source: RNAcentral